RNAcentral lists this ribosomal RNA (414 nucleotides) under uncultured Candidatus Saccharibacteria bacterium. RNAcentral's name for it is "bacterial SSU rRNA". It matches the Rfam family "Bacterial small subunit ribosomal RNA", at positions 958 to 1385 of the family's 1533-position model. The record is from RNAcentral. Lineage: Bacteria; Candidatus Saccharimonadota.
AACGCGAAGAACCUUACCCAGGCUUGACAUCCUUGGAAUUUCUCCGAAAGGAGAGAGUGCUUUAUUGAGCCAAGUGACAGGUGAUGCAUGGCCGUCGUCAGCUCGUGUCGUGAGAUGUUUGGUUAAGUCCAUCAACGAGCGCAACCCUUAUGUUUAGUUGAAUUUCUCUAAACAGACUGCCCUGGUAACAGGGAGGAAGGAGGGGAUGAUGUCAGGUCAGUAUUUCCCUUACGUCUGGGGCUACAAACACGCUACAAUGGCCGGUACAAAGGGCAGCCAAGUCGCAAGACGGAGCAAAUCCCAUCAAAGCCGGUCCCAGUUCGGAUUGCAGGCUGAAACUCGCCUGCAUGAAGUCGGAAUCGCUAGUAAUGGUAGGUCAGCUAUACUACCGUGAAUACGUUCCCGGGCCUUGUA